UACGAAGGGGGCUAGCGUUGUUCGGAAUCACUGGGCGUAAAGCGCACGUAGGCGGAUUGUUAAGUCGGGGGUGAAAUCCUGAGGCUCAACCUCAGAACUGCCUUCGAUACUGGCGAUCUUGAGUCCGGAAGAGGUUGGUGGAACAGCUAGUGUAGAGGUGAAAUUCGUAGAUAUUAGCUAGAACACCAGUGGCGAAGGCGGCCAACUGGUCCGGAACUGACGCUGAGGUGCGAUAGCGUGGGGAGCAAACAGG
RNAcentral lists this ribosomal RNA (253 nucleotides) under uncultured bacterium. RNAcentral describes it as "partial 16S ribosomal RNA". It matches the Rfam family "Bacterial small subunit ribosomal RNA", at positions 524 to 776 of the family's 1533-position model. The record is from RNAcentral.